RNAcentral lists this transfer RNA (69 nucleotides) under Cerithidea obtusa. RNAcentral's name for it is "tRNA-Ala". The record is from RNAcentral. Lineage: Eukaryota; Metazoa; Mollusca; Gastropoda; Potamididae.
GGCUAGGUACUUUAAACAUAAAAGAAUUGAUUUGCAUUCAAAAAAUGAGCGCUUGUUGCUCCCAUGCCA